CUGUAAGACUGGGAUAACUCCGGGAAACCGGGGCUAAUACCGGAUGCUUGAUUGAACCGCAUGGUUCAAUCAUGAAAGGCGGCUUCGGCUGCCGUUUACAGAUGGACCCGCGGCGCAUUAGCUAGUUGGUGAGGUAACGGCUCACCAAGGCGACGAUGCGUAGCCGACCUGAGAGGGUGAUCGGCCACACUGGGACUGAGACACGGCCCAGACUCCUACGGGAGGCAGCAGUGGUCAUAGC
This 241-nucleotide ribosomal RNA is filed under the name Bacillus sp. 118_4C. Its description in RNAcentral is "partial 16S ribosomal RNA". It matches the Rfam family "Bacterial small subunit ribosomal RNA", at positions 130 to 357 of the family's 1533-position model. The record is from RNAcentral. Lineage: Bacteria; Bacillati; Bacillota; Bacilli; Caryophanales; Bacillaceae. RNAcentral also lists the same sequence under 1 other name.